UGCAAGCUAUUCAGCAACACAGUGAGUAAAACUGGACCCACCCUAAAAAGAGGUAGUCAUAAAUAAAGGUAUCAGAAAAUUAUUCACAAUUCCAAGACACCAAGCCCCCCACAUCUGCAGUACCUAAUAUUAUAUAAUAAGCAAAAGCUUGAUAUAGUUAUAGACCAAAGAGUUGGUUAAUUAUGUGCCAGCCACCGCGGUUAUACAUAAAACUCAAAUCAAGAAACUCCUAUCGGUUUAAAAGUGACCAGGAUAAAACUUUCUUUAAAGUGAAAAACAACUCUAGUAUUAACAAGCUUUUACAGUAAACUAACAACUAAUUUAAAAUUACUUUAACCCUUACCUAUCCGAAACACUAAAGCUCAAAAAUAAACUGGGAUUAGAUACCCCACUAUAUGAGCCCUAAAAAAACAAAAACACCAGAGAACUACGAACAAAAGUUUAAAACUCAAAGGACUUGGCGGUUUUUUAGAUCUUCCUGGAGGAGCUUGCUAUCUAACCGAUAACCCACGAAAAACCUUACCAGC
RNAcentral lists this ribosomal RNA (527 nucleotides) under Astropecten sp. 6 DEZ-2008. RNAcentral's name for it is "partial 12S ribosomal RNA". The record is from RNAcentral. Lineage: Eukaryota; Metazoa; Echinodermata; Asteroidea; Paxillosida; Astropectinidae.